Long non-coding RNA from Maniola jurtina (meadow brown), 510 nucleotides. RefSeq lists it as uncharacterized. The record is from RefSeq and is a predicted model, not a curated record. The transcript has 4 exons. NCBI's taxonomy places the organism in Eukaryota, Metazoa, Arthropoda, Insecta, Lepidoptera, Nymphalidae.
GUAGGUAAGUGUGUGCCUUGGUAACAAUAGUUUUUCAGAAUUUAGAAUUGAAAUAAUUAAUUUAUAAUGCAAUUCUUUCGAUAUCGUUAAGAGUUAACUAAGAGUGCCAGCACACGAACAGUAGUUUUUAUUGGACAUAAUUAUCAACAUACCCAGCAUGAUGGUGUUCAUUUAUACGAUCUUGAAAGGCGUCCAGGAUCACAAAGACAUGUGUCUGUUUACGGCUCAGUUUUUUUCAUUACUGCAAGCAAUUUUCAUUAAAUUUAUUCCUACCGUAGCAGCCACCAUGUUGUCUCAAGAAGCUGAGAGAAUGAGAAUUGUUUUACACAAUAGACUGUUCGAAGAACAUGAUCAAAAUCAAACGCAAGAUUUUGAAAGGUUCAUCAAGUAUGUAGAAGUUCGUCCUUUCAAAUUCUACAUGCUGUCUAUAAUCCCCAUGGACGUGAAACUUCUUCUCAUUGUAUUCGAUUUCAGCGCUACUUACCUAAUUGUGCUUAUCCAACUUACACA